GCCUGCCCAGUGAUGUAUUUUUAACGGCCGCGGUAUCCUAACCGUGCAAAGGUAGCGCAAUCACUUGUUCUUUAAAUAAGGACUAGUAUGAAUGGCGACAUGAGGAUCGCCUUGUCUCUCAUAAUAGGUCCAUGAAACUGAUCUUCCAGUACAAAAGCUGGAAUAAACCCACAAGACGAGAAGACCCUGUGGAGCUUCAAACUUCAGACCACACAAAACCUGGCCCUGCCGUUUUUAGUUGGGGCGACUUUGGAGCAAAACUAAACCUCCAAACAAAUAACUUGAGGCCGCCGCGCCAAAACACCAACAAUGACCCAAUACAAUUGACCAAUGAACCAAGUUACCCCAGGGAUAACAGCGCAAUCUUCUUCUAGAGUCCCUAUCGACAAGAAGGUUUACGACCUCGAUGUUGGAUCCGGAUACCCAAAUAGUGCAGCCGCUAUUAAAGGUUCGUUUGUUCAACGAUUAAUAAUCCCACGUGAUCUGAGUUCAGACCGG
Molecule: ribosomal RNA, 498 nt
Filed under: Amphisbaena longinqua
Lineage: Eukaryota; Metazoa; Chordata; Lepidosauria; Squamata; Amphisbaenidae
Description: partial large subunit ribosomal RNA
Rfam family: Bacterial large subunit ribosomal RNA
Source: RNAcentral